RNAcentral lists this ribosomal RNA (491 nucleotides) under Alteromonadales bacterium M3-C2. RNAcentral's name for it is "bacterial SSU rRNA". It matches the Rfam family "Bacterial small subunit ribosomal RNA", at positions 1 to 492 of the family's 1533-position model. The record is from RNAcentral. Lineage: Bacteria; Pseudomonadati; Pseudomonadota; Gammaproteobacteria; Alteromonadales.
UAGAGUUUGGAUCAUGGCUCAGAUUGAACGCUGGCGGCAGGCCUAACACAUGCAAGUCGAGCGGUAGAAAGUAGCUUGCUACUUUUGAGAGCGGCGGACGGGUGAGUAACGCGUGGGAAUCUACCUGGUAGUGGGGGACAACUUGGGGAAACUCAAGCUAAUACCGCAUACGCCCUACGGGGGAAAGGAGGGGCUCUUCGGACCUUUCGCUAUCAGAUGAGCCUGCGUAGGAUUAGCUAGUUGGUAGGGUAAAGGCCUACCAAGGCGACGAUCCUUAGCUGGUCUGAGAGGAUGAUCAGCCACACUGGGACUGAGACACGGCCCAGACUCCUACGGGAGGCAGCAGUGGGGAAUAUUGGACAAUGGGGGCAACCCUGAUCCAGCCAUGCCGCGUGUGUGAAGAAGGCCUUCGGGUUGUAAAGCACUUUCAGUGGUGAGGAAGGGUGUGCAGUUAAUACCUGCAUACAUUGACGUUAGCCACAGAGAGACCG